Molecule: RNA transcript, 2374 nt
Organism: Populus trichocarpa (black cottonwood)
Lineage: Eukaryota; Viridiplantae; Streptophyta; Magnoliopsida; Malpighiales; Salicaceae
Exons: 4
Source: RefSeq, a predicted model, not a curated record
GGCCCAGCAAGGUUCAAAGUACGACCAUCGUCCUGCUUUUUGUGUGAUCGAGUUCGACGAUAGCAGAGAGAGACAAGACAUGGAAGAAGCGGGAGUGUUAGAAUUGUACGAGCUGCACUACUCUGAUUUGCUGCUGUUAUCAUCAACUUCACCGGUACCAGAAGAGGGAGAAGAAAGAGCGGAGAGAAUAAAGAAAACAAUAAUGGAAACCCUAGGCCCGACUGGCCCUGGACUCCUUUCCAUCACUGGUGUCCCUAAAGCUUCCAUUCUUCGACAAAGGCUCCUCCCUCUUGCUAGCAAGCUGGCUCUUCUCGAUCACGAUCGCCGCAAACACAUCCUCAAGGAGCACAACAUGGGUAGUGAUGUUCCUCUGAAGAACCCGGAUAGAAAUGUGUCCUCUUUUGCAAUGCAACUCAAAUAUGCUCAAGCUCUAGAAUCUGCUCCGGGUAAAACGAAUAAUAGAGCCCGUUCUAAUUCGAAUUUAGAAUCAGCUCAUCUGGAUGACAAUGAUGAUGAAGUGACAGACUCUCCGGAAGAUGAAUUUGCAAAUCUGUCUGAUAUCUUUAGGGAGCUGGGAUAUUGCAUGAUGGAGCUGGGGCUUCGUGUUGCGCAAAUAUGUGAUAUGGCCAUUGGUGGUCAAGAGUUGGAACGGAGCUUACUGGAAUCAGGGACAGCAAAAGGACGCCUUAUACAUUACCAUUCUUCUCUAGACAACCUACUGAUAAAAGCAAGUGGGAGAAGGAAGGGAUCCACAAAAAUGCAGGCUUAUUGUGAGAAGAACCAAGUGCUGUUAUCAAGAAGUGAGCAAAAGCAAUCAGAACGCUGUAACUUGGUUGCAAAUGUUAAUGAAGUCGGAUCAAGUGGAAAUCAGGGAAACCUAUGGCAGCAGUGGCAUUAUGAUUAUGGUAUCUUCACUGUUUUGACAGCACCCAUGUUUCUUCUGCCCUCCCAAUUAUCAGAAAAUACCGCAACAGAUCAAUUUCCAGUUUUUUGUGAUAAAGACUGCCCUUGUCCAACUGGACAUUCAUAUUUGCAAAUCUUUGAUGCCAAUACAAAUGAUGUCCUCAUGGUGAAAACUUCUUCAGAAAGUUUCAUCAUUCAGGUCGGUGAAUCGGCUGAUAUCUUAUCGAGAGGAAAGCUUCGCUCAACCCUUCAUUGUGUUUGCAGACCCCCAAACUUAGAAAAUCUAAGCAGAGAAACUUUUGUUGUGUUUUUGCAACCUGCAUGGAGCAAAACUUUCUCAAUGUCAGAUUAUAAUGUGCAGCACAACAUGUUAGGUCGUCAUUCUUCAAAUGAGGGAAAUGGCCUUAGUGAGCAUGACUUUAAUGAAGUUGCUCGAGAAAUUCAUAAAAUUGUCCCCCCACUUUCAUCACGGUUGAAGGAUGGGAUGACAUUCGCAGAAUUCUCACGUGAAACUACCAAGCAAUAUUAUGGAGGCAGCGGUUUACAAUCAAACACUAUAGAUCUGCAUUGGUUUGGUCUUUGUGAGUUUCAUGACACCAUAUAAUGUGAGGAGUUACCAUAGGCCUUUGAGCUUGGUUGGGCGGUUGCUAUUACUAUAUGACAGUGGGGCUAUUUUUUGGAAUAAAAGCUGCAAUUUAAGCUGCUGAUGCUACCAUUACCUAGAACAGUUGAUGGUGGAUUCUUACUUCCUGAAUAUAGAGACAGACGGCAGAAUAUGACCAGCGGAAAUAGAAAAUAAUUCGUCUUGAGUGGUCUGUAGAGGGACAGGUCCAAGGUUACUUCGUAUUUACUAUGAAGGGAUGAUCUUUGAAGUGCCAAUCAUAGCUUCUCUACAAGUCAUUAAGGUUGACAAAGUCAAGAUGCAGGGGCUGUGUUCUCCUUGAUUUCUAGCGGGGUCAAUCGUGCUCCUUCCAUGUAAGGGAAACAGCAACUGAAUUUAGAUCAGUGUCUGUUCGAGUCAGUCAUGUUAGCCAGGCAGGCCCCAAGCCUGGCACGAGCCUACUUUUAUUAUGUAUCACUGGCUAUGCAUUGAGACGGCAUAAUCUUAGUGUCUCGUUGCCUGUUCCAUUCGUUAGCCGUUGCAAACGGCUACACGAGAACCAGCAAUCCUGUUUGCCAUGCAUUUACCAUUGUGAUAACAACUUUGUUAUGGUAAUGUUGGGCAAAGGUUCCUGGGGUAAGAAAUUCUAACAUAGGGCCACAGUGCUGAACACUUCUUUUACAUACAUGGAAGUUUUUAUUAUUUUAUUGUAGUGUAUGAACGUUACUAGCAGCACCCAGCCUGAAAGAAGAAAAAAAAAAGAGGUGGGGUUGGAACGGCCUGGAAAUUUCAUUUCAUUUAAUGUAAAGUGACACAGAAUUAGACGUUUGAAUAAAUUAGCUUUCAAAAUGUAUUAUAAAGCUAGAUCAA